GUGAAUCAUCGAAUCUUUGAACGCAAAUUGCACUUUCUGGUAUUCCGGAAAGUAUGCCUGUUUGGGGGUCAGUUAAAUAAAAAUCGGUGUGGUUGCUGCCUUUCGUGGUGAUGCGUCGGAAUAGGGGCGUCUUACCUUCGGUUAAGUGACUUACAAUUUUUGCAGGAUUUUCGAACGUAGUGAAAUCGCUUACGUACGU
RNAcentral lists this unclassified non-coding RNA (199 nucleotides) under Glomus sp. RNAcentral's name for it is "partial contains 5.8S ribosomal RNA and internal transcribed spacer 2". The stretch from base 1 to 71 matches the Rfam family "5.8S ribosomal RNA", at positions 84 to 154 of the family's 154-position model. The record is from RNAcentral. Lineage: Eukaryota; Fungi; Glomeromycota; Glomeromycetes; Glomerales; Glomeraceae.